UGGGGAAUAUUGCACAAUGGGCGCAAGCCUGAUGCAGCCAUGCCGCGUGUGUGAAGAAGGCCUUCGGGUUGUAAAGCACUUUCAGCGAGGAGGAAGGUGGUGAACUUAAUACGUUCAUCAAUUGACGUUACUCGCAGAAGAAGCACCGGCUAACUCCGUGCCAGCAGCCGCGGUAAUACGGAGGGUGCAAGCGUUAAUCGGAAUUACUGGGCGUAAAGCGCACGCAGGCGGUUUGUUAAGUCAGAUGUGAAAUCCCCGGGCUCAACCUGGGAACUGCAUUUGAAACUGGCAAGCUAGAGUCUCGUAGAGGGGGGUAGAAUUCCAGGUGUAGCGGUGAAAUGCGUAGAGAUCUGGAGGAAUACCGGUGGCGAAGGCGGCCCCCUGGACGAAGACUGACGCUCAGGUGCGAAAAGCGUGGGGAGCAAAACAGGAUUAGAUACCCUGGUAGUCCACGCUGUAAAACGAUGUCGAUUUUGGAGGUUGUGCCCUUGAGGCGUGGCUUCCGGAGCUAACGCGUUAAAUCGACCGCCUGGGGAGUACGGCCG
This 545-nucleotide ribosomal RNA is filed under the name uncultured bacterium. Its description in RNAcentral is "partial 16S ribosomal RNA". It matches the Rfam family "Bacterial small subunit ribosomal RNA", at positions 355 to 888 of the family's 1533-position model. The record is from RNAcentral.